RNAcentral lists this ribosomal RNA (447 nucleotides) under uncultured bacterium. RNAcentral describes it as "bacterial SSU rRNA". It matches the Rfam family "Bacterial small subunit ribosomal RNA", at positions 330 to 793 of the family's 1533-position model. The record is from RNAcentral.
GCCAGACUCCUACGGGAGGCAGCAGUGGGGAAUAUUGCACAAUGGGGGAAACCCUGAUGCAGCGACGCCGCGUGAGUGAAGAAGUAUUUCGGUAUGUAAAGCUCUAUCGGCAGGAACGAGACAAGACGGUACCUGACUAAGAAGCCCCGGCUAACUACGUGCCAGCAGCCGCGGUAAUACGUAGGGGGCAAGCGUUAUCCGGAAUCACUGGGUGUAAAGGGAGCGUAGACGGCUGUGCAAGCCUGAAGUGAAAGGCGGGGGCCCAACCCCUGGACUGCUUUGGGAACUGUACGGCUGGAGUGCAGGAGAGGUAAGUGGAAUUCCUAGUGUAGCGGUGAAAUGCGUAGAUAUUAGGAGGAACACCAGUGGCGAAGGCGGCUUACUGGACUGAAACUGACGUUGAGGCUCGAAAGCGUGGGGAGCAAACAGGAUUAGAUACCCCGGUAA